RNAcentral lists this ribosomal RNA (421 nucleotides) under uncultured bacterium. Its description in RNAcentral is "partial 16S ribosomal RNA". It matches the Rfam family "Bacterial small subunit ribosomal RNA", at positions 360 to 773 of the family's 1533-position model. The record is from RNAcentral.
AAUAUUGGACAAUGGGUGAAAGCCUGAUCCAGCCAUGCAGCGUGUUUUAAGAAGGUCUUCGGAUUGUAAAGUACUUUAAGUUGGGAGGAAGGGCAGUAAGUUAAUACCUUGCUGUAUUGACGUUACCGACAGAAUAAGCAUCGGCUAACUUCGUGCCAGCAGCCGCGGUAACACUAAGGGCGCAAGCGUUAAUCGGAAUUACUGGGCGUAAAGCGCGCGUAGUAGGUUAGUUAAAUUGGAAGUGAAAGCCGCGGGCUCAACCUGGGAACUGCUUUCAAAACUGGCAAGCUAGAGUAUGGCAGAGGGUGGUGGAAUUUCCUGUGUAGCGGUGAAAUGCGUAGAUAUAAGAAGGAACACCAGUGGAGAAGGCGACUACCUGGACUGAUACUGACACUGAGGUGCGAAAGCGUGGGGAGCAAAC